GUCGAUUUGCAGCGGGGCGGCGUGAGGGAUAUCUCGUUUGGAAGAGCAGGUGGAGUACAAGGUCGCGUCGAGGUCCAAUGACCGGAAUAUCGGCUCCACAGAGGACGCCAUCACAGGUGCAUCGAUCUCAAUCUUCUCCUCCAUUGCCAUUGUCUUCGUUACCCGUGUGUGUAGCAGGUGUGCUCUCACACUCAAGAAUUUUCAGUACCUGAUGGGUUCUUUCUAAUUCAGAUCUUGCUUGCCUUAUCGUGACAUCUUCUUUGCCAUGGUAAGCACAUCAUGGUUCGUUCGCCCUCAUGACUUUUUAUUAUGACAUUAAUGGAGUUCAGAAAGCAGUUUUAGUGAAGAUCGAAUGGUUUUUAGAUUAAGUAGAUAAUACAAGAGUACUCUUCUGUAGUGUAUUGUUGUUCAACU
Molecule: long non-coding RNA, 414 nt
Filed under: Triticum aestivum (bread wheat)
Lineage: Eukaryota; Viridiplantae; Streptophyta; Magnoliopsida; Poales; Poaceae
Description: long non-coding RNA (TAES_LNC006607)
Source: RNAcentral